UACGAAGGUGGCAAGCGUUACCCGGAUUUAUUGGGCGUAAAGGGUCCGCAGACGGUUUGAAAAGUUCUUGGUCAAAUCUUGAGGCUUAACUUCAAGACUGCCAAGAAAACUCUCAGACUAGAGACCGGGAGAGGCAAGUAGAAUUGCUGGUGUAGUAGUAAAAUGCGUUGAUAUCAGCAGGAAUACCAAAAGCGAAGGCAGCUUGCUAGAACGGUUCUGACGUUCAGGGACGAAAGCGUGGGUAGCGAAUGGGG
RNAcentral lists this ribosomal RNA (254 nucleotides) under uncultured bacterium. Its description in RNAcentral is "partial 16S ribosomal RNA". It matches the Rfam family "Bacterial small subunit ribosomal RNA", at positions 524 to 777 of the family's 1533-position model. The record is from RNAcentral.